This 71-nucleotide transfer RNA is filed under the name Loxodonta africana (African savanna elephant). It matches the Rfam family "tRNA". From Rfam's summary of the family: Transfer RNA (tRNA) molecules are approximately 80 nucleotides in length. Lineage: Eukaryota; Metazoa; Chordata; Mammalia; Proboscidea; Elephantidae. The record is from Rfam by way of RNAcentral.
CCUCUGAUGUUUCAGUGGUAGGAUUCUUACCUUCUGUGUAGGAGACCUGGGUUCAAUUCCUGGUCAGCGUU